GGGUUUAAUGUGCUUCCCUGAAUUUCCCUCCCUUCAUGGGUUAAUUCUCUAGCACGGUCAAGGUGCAGAUUAUUGGUUCCCGAGUAUUAUUUGGAUACAAUGUUUUGAAGUGGGUGUGAUUGAGAGGUUGUCUCUGGGUUCUUCCUUUCCUCUGUCUCUUUCUUCGAAUGUAUAAGACAGAGGAGCUGAGCGUCUUGCUAACUCUGUCCAACGGAUUUUAUGUUCGUCAUUUGCAUGUAUCAGGAAGCAGCAAUAAACGUGUGAACAUCA
Molecule: long non-coding RNA, 270 nt
Organism: Clupea harengus (Atlantic herring)
Lineage: Eukaryota; Metazoa; Chordata; Actinopteri; Clupeiformes; Clupeidae
Exons: 2
Source: RefSeq, a predicted model, not a curated record